Molecule: long non-coding RNA, 697 nt
Organism: Ictalurus punctatus (channel catfish)
Lineage: Eukaryota; Metazoa; Chordata; Actinopteri; Siluriformes; Ictaluridae
Source: Ensembl
UUUACAUCUGAAAGAACAUUAAAGGUUCUAAAUUCCUACUUGCAGUGUCUUUAUGAAUUAAUUUUCCAAAAAAGGAGCAAAUAGUGUUCAGAGGGUGUUUUCAGCUAGUUCAACAAAGAAGCACAGUUCAAAGAGAUUGUAAAAUGGACCUUCAGAGUCUGGGGGCGUUAAGGGCAAAGAGCCCAGUCUGGUUUGAGGAAUCUCCAGCAGAACAUUACGGGUGAAGGCUGCGUAUAAGAGUCCUCGGUUUGGCAGAUGAAUUUUGAAUACACUGCUCAAGUCCCAGGGCCUGAGUAGCAACCGUAGCCCCAGCAACCACAGUGAGUGUGUCCAUCUGGAACUGGAGUAGAUGCAGGAGCACCUACAUCUACAAGCAGGAGCAUGAGUGGCCUAUUCAGUUUCUCUGUAAUGGUCCAUCCAGAGCUAGGGCAUCCGAACGGAUCAGGCAGGUCCGGAGAGAAGAAAGUAUCAGGAUCUCCAGCAUCUCCAUAAAAUCAUGUGUGGCCCGACAGAAGGAGAGAGGAAGAGAUUGUUAAGUAAAACUGUGCUUUGCAUGAAAGAAAGUCUACUCAUGGUCUUCUCUACAUCUCAGUAUGCCUUCUUUAAUCAUGCAUUGAGGAAUAAAAUCUAGCAGGGUAGACACGGCUUGGCGUCUCUCCACUGGAGGCGUGUGACAGUGACUUUGAUCUCACGGCGA